This 484-nucleotide ribosomal RNA is filed under the name uncultured bacterium. RNAcentral describes it as "partial 16S ribosomal RNA". It matches the Rfam family "Bacterial small subunit ribosomal RNA", at positions 30 to 507 of the family's 1533-position model. The record is from RNAcentral.
AUUGAACGCUGGCGGCAGGCCUAACACAUGCAAGUCGAGCGGAUGAAGGGAGCUUGCUCCUGGAUUCAGCGGCGGACGGGUGAGUAAUGCCUAGGAAUCUGCCUGGUAGUGGGGGAUAACGUCCGGAAACGGGCGCUAAUACCCCAUACGUCCUGAGGGAGGAAGGGGGGGAUCUUCGGACCUCCCGCUAUCAGAUGAGCCUAGGUCGGAUUAGCUAGUUGGUGGGGUAAAGGCCUACCAAGGCGACGAUCCGUAACUGGUCUGAGAGGAUGAUCAGUCACACUGGAACUGAGACACGGUCCAGACUCCUACGGGAGGCAGCAGUGGGGAAUAUUGGACAAUGGGCGAAAGCCUGAUCCAGCCAUGCCGCGUGUGUGAAGAAGGUCUUCGGAUUGUAAAGCACUUUAAGUUGGGAGGAAGGGCAGUAAGUUAAUACCUUGCUGUUUUGACGUUACCAACAGAAUAAGCACCGGCUAACUUCGUG